CAAAUGCGUGAGGGAGACCAAGGGGAAGUUCUGGGCUAAGUUGAUCACAACAACCUAUUCUUGCAGUACUAAUCCAGUCCCAUGAGACUUAAAUCACUCCUGAGUCCAAUCUCAAGAGAACUACUACAGCCUCCCAGUUAAAACAUUAGUCCAUUCUGGAGGCUGGGACCCUAUGACCUAAUCACCUCUAAAGGAUCCGUCCUCCUACACAAUGCCAUACCGAAGAGAGGCUGGGAAGUCCAUGAUUAUGGCCCAAGAAGAUUCAGAGCCUGGUGAGGGUUCUCUGCUUCAAAGAUGGCACCUCUUUUUCUGUGACCUCACAUAACAGGACAAACAGAUCCCUUCCCCAAAACUAUGAAUGCAGAAGGGGCCUGGUGACUUGAACAGCAGAGGAAGUAAAAGAGGAGUUGAGGACGUUCAGAAGUCAAGAUGCAUCACUGAAAAGCAUCACCCUUGGUUCCCAAGGUUCUCAGGGUGAAGAUCAGAAUUCUAGACAGCAGGCCUUGUUCUGGCUAGUUCCUGUAUCAAGGCUAGUGACAGGAUGUGGCUCUGCCUGUGUCCCCAAUCCAGAGGACUGUCCUGGUACUGUUCACUGCAGGACACUUUCCAGUUUUUCUAGUCACAAGUUAAUCUGUGUUUCUUCUUGGGUUCUGUCCGUUUUCUCUACCAGGCUAUGAAUUGGAGGAAGGCAGACCAUGUCUGUUUAACAGACUGUAGCCUGAGCUUGGUGCAAGAAAAGUGUGUCUUACUAUUUGUUGAAAAAAAAAAUAAAUGAAUGAGGGAAGGUGUGAUAAAUUAGCUAUAGCUCCUGGUUGCAAGUGACAGAAUUGCCACUCAGAUGCUUAUACAAAAAUGAAGUGGUUGUGGCUGAUGUGAGUGGGCAGUGAAAGGCAGUGGACAGAGACAACUUCAUCAAAAUCAGUCUCUCUCUCUGUUGCUCUUUCUCUUCUCCUCUGUGUGGGCUUCUUACAAGGUAGUGCCCAAGCCCCCUCUUGCACAUACCCUCUUACCAGCCCAGCCAUCUUGUGGGAAGAGGUCUUCUUAUUUUCCCAUUGGUUCCAGCAAAAAUCCCAGAAUCUAUUCUGAUUGGUUGGGGCUGUGUCAUGUGAUCACUCCUGAGCCAAUCGCUGAAGCCCAAAGCAUUCUUACUGUAUUACACUGGAAUGAGUUUGAGCUCAUUCUCUAGGUUCAGGAUAGAGGAGAUUUCAUGAAAGUAGAGAUAAGGAGAGGGGGCUUUCCAGGAAAUGUUUGAGGAAGGGCAUAGAGUGAGUGACCAGGAAAGGGCACAGAACAAACCAUGCAUCAGGGGCAUGAAGUUCAUGAGAAAGUCUUAACGAGAAUUCAGGAUGUGGUUAUUGACAGGCCUGGGUGGAGUAAGCAGAGACCACUUCCUAGCUGGGGAACCUUGGUUGAGUCAUAACUUCACCUAACCUUGGUCUCCCCACUUAUAAAAAGGGAAUUUAGUGGCACACCCCAGUAAUCCCAGCGACUAGGGAGGCUGAGGCAGGAGGAUCGCAAGUUUGAGGCCAGUCUCGGCAAUUUGGGGAGACUGUAAGCAACCUGAUGAGACUCUUAAAAUAAAAAUUUAAAAAAGGACUGGGGAUGUGGCUCAGUGUUUAAAUGUCUCUGGGUUCAAUCCCCAAAACCAAAAAAUAAAAAUUAAUAAAAUGGGAAUUUGAAAACAUUCAUAGGGGUUUUGUGAGGAUUUUAUGAGACAAGCGAGCUAUGUGAAAGAAUUUUGUAACCAGGAAAGUGGACAGAGAGGCAAACCAACAUGAAGAUGGAAAGGGAGGGAGAAAUCAGAUUGUAAAGAAGACAAGAACUGAAAUCAUGGGGGUGAAUGAGAGAGAAGGGCUACCUGCCUCAGAGAAGGAGUAGCUAGAAAAUCAGGAGGAAUUUCGAAGAGACCAAAGGAUAGAAGAAAUCAAAGAAGGAGGGCUGCACCUGAUGUCAGGUGCUUCAGAGGGUCCAAGCAGGUGACAGAAGUACUUUCCAGAGAAGUUCCAUGAUCAUGGGUGCAGAAUCCAUAUCGCCAAGACUUAGGGUGGGAGUAGGUAGCAAGAAGUGGAAGACAAGAUUGUAGAUGCUCUUCUCAGAGGCUCCUGAGAGUGGUCUCCAGGGUUUCAUUAUUCUAGUGGAUCUGCCUAUUUUAGCUAAUAUGUGCAACAUUCUUGAAGCCUACGUCCAUAGUCUUAGUUUUCUCACUUCCCACAGCCCGCUGAGGUCCUCGAGAGAUUCCGAUGGUGAUGGUUUAGUGUUGAAUCCAGCAAUUUCUCUUUAUGUCUCAGUCUAUCUGUCCAUGAAGCAUCAUCUAAUGCUCUCUACCUCUGGUCCAAGAUAACAUUUGUGGUGGUGUCAAUACACGGGGUACAGAUUCUCUAGUAUUUUCUCCCUUUGUGCUCUCCCCUGAGUCUAGGCAGGUAUAGUAUGGUGGAAAUGAUUCUAUGUAACACUCAGGGUUGGGUCAUAAAAGGUCUGCAGCUUCUUCCUGGCACAGUGCUUCCAAAUGCAUCCUGACUGUUGCCUAUAUCAAUUAACUCAGUUCCUUUUUUGUUGUAUAGUAUUCCACUGUAUUGAUAUACCGCAGUGUGUUUAUCCAUUCACGAUUAACAAUCGUUUGUCUUGUUUUCAGUUUGGGGCGCUUAUAAAUAAAGCUUCUCUAACUGUU
Molecule: long non-coding RNA, 2668 nt
Organism: Sciurus carolinensis (gray squirrel)
Lineage: Eukaryota; Metazoa; Chordata; Mammalia; Rodentia; Sciuridae
Exons: 3
Source: RefSeq, a predicted model, not a curated record